This 373-nucleotide ribosomal RNA is filed under the name uncultured bacterium. RNAcentral's name for it is "bacterial SSU rRNA". It matches the Rfam family "Bacterial small subunit ribosomal RNA", at positions 525 to 896 of the family's 1533-position model. The record is from RNAcentral.
ACGGAGGGUGCAAGCGUUGUUCGGAUUGACUGGGCGUAAAGGGCGUGUAGGCGGUCGGCCAAGUCUGAUGUGAAAGCCCGGGGCUCAGCUCCGGAAGUGCGUCGGAAACUAGUCGGCUGGAGCGCGAUAGAGGAGGGUGGAAUUCCUGGUGUAGCGGUGAAAUGCGUAGAUAUCAGGAGGAACACCGGCGGCGAAGGCGGCCCUCUGGAUCGUUGCUGACGCUGAGACGCGAAAGCGUGGGGAGCAAACAGGAUUAGAUACCCUGGUAGUCCACGCUGUAAACUAUGGGUACUAGGUGUUUGGGGUAUUGACCCCCUGAGUGCCGCAGUUAACGCAUUAAGUACCCCGCCUGGGGACUACGGCCGCAAGGUUA